This 820-nucleotide ribosomal RNA is filed under the name bacterium. Its description in RNAcentral is "bacterial SSU rRNA". It matches the Rfam family "Bacterial small subunit ribosomal RNA", at positions 29 to 859 of the family's 1533-position model. The record is from RNAcentral.
AUGAACGCUGGCGGCGUGCUUAACACAUGCAAGUCGAACGGUGAAGGAGAGCUUGCUCUCUGGAUCAGUGGCGAACGGGUGAGUAACACGUGAGCAAUCUGCCCCUGACUCUGGGAUAAGCGCUGGAAACGGUGUCUAAUACCGGAUAUGAGCUGCGAAGGCAUCUUCAGCAGUUGGAAAGAUUUUUCGGUCAGGGAUGAGCUCGCGGCCUAUCAGCUAGUUGGUGAGGUAACGGCUCACCAAGGCGUCGACGGGUAGCCGGCCUGAGAGGGUGACCGGCCACACUGGGACUGAGACACGGCCCAGACUCCUACGGGAGGCAGCAGUGGGGAAUAUUGCACAAUGGGCGCAAGCCUGAUGCAGCAACGCCGCGUGAGGGACGACGGCCUUCGGGUUGUAAACCUCUUUUAGCAGGGAAGAAGCGAAAGUGACGGUACCUGCAGAAAAAGCACCGGCUAACUACGUGCCAGCAGCCGCGGUAAUACGUAGGGUGCAAGCGUUAUCCGGAAUUAUUGGGCGUAAAGAGCUCGUAGGCGGUCUGUCGCGUCUGCUGUGAAAACCCGAGGCUCAACCUCGGGCCUGCAGUGGGUACGGGCAGACUAGAGUGCGGUAGGGGAGAUUGGAAUUCCUGGUGUAGCGGUGGAAUGCGCAGAUAUCAGGAGGAACACCGAUGGCGAAGGCAGAUCUCUGGGCCGUAACUGACGCUGAGGAGCGAAAGGGUGGGGAGCAAACAGGCUUAGAUACCCUGGUAGUCCACCCCGUAAACGUUGGGAACUAGUUGUGGGGUCCAUUCCACGGAUUCCGUGACGCAGCUAACGCA